ACUUAAGUAGUUUAUAUAAUUUAAAACAUUGAUUUGUGGAAUCGAAGAAAUAAAUUUUGGUGUUAUCUUAAGUU
RNAcentral lists this transfer RNA (74 nucleotides) under Corynis lateralis. Its description in RNAcentral is "tRNA-His". Lineage: Eukaryota; Metazoa; Arthropoda; Insecta; Hymenoptera; Cimbicidae. The record is from RNAcentral.